UCAUAUUUGUCUCUUUAGAUCAUCGAAUAAACCUUACAACAAAACCUUUCUUUUCAUUAUUGUUUACCUACCUUUUAUUACUUUUUAUUUCCUAGCUGACCUUUCAUAAUAUAUGGGUAUAUAUAUAUUGGGGGAAUAUCAAGUGGGAAUGACAAUUUUGUAUGAGAAUGGUAGGAAUGGUUUUCAACCCUUAGAUCAAAAUGAAUGAUCAAGAUUAAAAGGACAAAUUGAUUUGCACGUGUCUUUGUCUUCCGCAAGUCCAGAACUAAAAGCACAUCAUUUCUUUUUAUGAACCACCACUCUAGAUCUCACCCCAGAGGAAUAACCCGGCUACCGGCUGCACCAAACCAACCAAUGGACCACAAUAAAUUAUAUAUGCCACCCAUGACAUGAACAUUAUAACCUUUGAUUUUAUUUUUUGUAGUUGAAUUCGAGGCACAACCUACUUACAAAGCUAUAAUGUAGAAGGAAGCAUGUAACAUCUUCUACUAUAGGGUAAUCCUUCAAUAACUAAUUUGAAAGUCUUGUGAUUUAAGUUAAACAAAGGGAUUUACAUAUUCUUGGAGGUUGACAUGAGUGCAUUGAAGCAAAUGGGAGAAAAAUCAAAAAUGGCCUCAUAGAGCUUGCAAUUCUUAUGGUAAUUGUCAUCAAUUUGUGGCUUAUGUUCAAAUGCCUAUUACAGAGCAUAUGUUACAAAUACUUUGGUUGGUUGAUCGCAUGAAAAUUAAUAAGGUAAAUAACCAUUGUAUUCAAAUAUAAGCAUCAAGAAGAAUAAACUUUGACAUAGACAUCCGACACGACACAUAUACUCAUACGUCGACACCACUAAUUUAAAAAACACAUGACACCGACAUCGCUACAUAUUUUUUUAUUUAUUUAUGAAAAAUUAAAAUUGAUAAUCAGUUUAUUUAUGUGUGCAUCUAAAUUUAUCAAUUUAUUUCAUUUUAAAAAAAAGUUCUAAACAAAAUUAAAAUAGGAUAGUUUUUAACAUUUUAUUUAUAUUUAUCCAUCUACUAUAAAAAAAAAAAAAAAAAAAACUAAAAAUGUUCUAAUCAAAUUUAAUUUCUUUGACCCCUCAUUGAAUAACAAUGAUCCUUCACAACAUUUUUAACUCUUGUAAAUGUGUUUGAGAUAUAUCUUUAAGGCUUUGUUUCAGAAUUUGGAGGGGAGAAAAAUGAAGACUUUGGAGGGUUGGAAAUAUAUAGGAAAAUGGUAAAAUCUUUCACAUUUUCUGAAAGAGUAAUUUUUUAGAGAAUGAUAAAUCAAUGCUUAUGAUUAAUAUUUUUUUAAUUUUAAAAAUAUUAUAACUACAUGUAUUAAAUUUGAAAAAUUCAUGUAAACCCUCCAGAACCCCUUAAAACCAUGAGGGUUUUGUAGUAUGAAGAAAAAUGAACGCCCCAAAGCCUUUCCCUCUUAAUGUCAUCUAUUUUUUCCACUUGCCCUUUCUUUUUUUCCAUAAAGAAUUUUUUUUUGAAACAAAGUGUCAAAAAACUUUUUUUGUCAUACAAGUGUGAUUCGGGUGUCGAACACCUCUAUCCAAAGAGUUCCAAAUAAAUAGUAAAUAUUUUUUGGAUACUUGUAUGAUAUUUUUUGACACGUUUCAAACAAAUGUCAUAUGAGUGUUGGAAAUCGAUGUGUAUCGGACACCGCGACACGUCUGAGCUUAUGGGUGUCAGUGGUUCAUAUAUUAAUACAAAUUUAAUCUAAACUUGGAUCCCCUAAUUUGUAUUUUUUUUUACAAACCUUGAGUUAUACUUUGUGCUUCGAGUUAGUUAUUAAAACUAUAUUUGCGUCCUUCCUUCCCUAUUUCAUUCUCACUCCUAUUUUACUGGAUUUUAGCUUAUGGUACUUGUUAUUUAGGAGAUGCUGGAGAAAUGAUGAAGGGACAAAAGAGGAUAUAUAUAAUUUUGAUUUGAAUAUAUUUGUGAAUAAUGGGGAGAUUUUAGUAUUAAGGUGAAAGAUUGAUAGAAAUAGGCAGAAAAUGGUAACCAAACAAAUUUUCAAUUCAAGGAAGAUGUAUUGCUUCGUAGAGGAUCGCCACAAGAAACGUGGUUUUUUGAUAAGAUAAAUUCAUGGUUCAAUCUAGAACCCAAAAGAAGUAAAGCUUCCAAAUUCACAUAAAGUGACAUUUUUUCUUAUCAAAAUUCAUCUGCCUUACGUAUCAUUUUCGUGCUCUAUUUAUAUGAUUUUAUUACAUGAUGAUUUUGAUUCUAAAACUCUUAGAAAAUAAAAGGAAAUGCAUCUAUUAAUUGCAAAUUUGCAAUAAUGUUUUGCUGGCUGAUUAAGACAAGGAAGACUACACUUUAGAUAGACUUUUAGUUGGUUGAUUUUAUUUUCAGUUGUAUGCUUCAGUCAAUCCCCUCAAUUUCACCUCCUUAUAGUCAUCGUUAAGUGCUGGAUUGAAUGCUCGUUCCUUCCUUUUUUCAGCUCUUUAUUUGAAUCACGUCUGAAACUUCAAGCCCAUUUUUUACAGAAAAAUAUGUCGAUUUUGAUCUUGACCCCAAAAGAUGAAAUGCAGAUAAAUUUCUAAGCUUUCCAACAAAUUAAAGAUUGCAUCAAUCGGACAUCGACAUCUCUAGAUAUGGACAAAACAAGACAGAUAUAUAAUGAUCUAUACGAAUAUAAAAACUUUGAACCAAAAAUAAUUUGGUUCUCUUAUGCCAUAAUAACUUAAUGAUUAUUUUCAAGGGAGAGGAUAUUAGGAUCACAUCAAGAAACUUAUUAGCUUGUGGUGCGUGUUAUUUAUGACAUGCUAUAGUGGAAAUUUCAAUAUUUAUUAUGUGAACAAACAAUCAAAAUCUGAUACACUUAAACUUCAAGUUGAUAUGACUAGUUUAUUAUCAAAUCAUAUUUGUCGUCAAAUUGAUCUGGUAUGUUUCAAGUAUUUCUUUUGGUAUAUUUUUCAUUGAUUGGGUCUGCAUAGAACUAGUAAUUGUAUUUGAUAAGGUCAACUAUAUCUAGAUAAAUUGAUGACAAUUUUUAUCCCUCAACUUGAUAGGUAAAUAGAUUGAAAAGAUCAUGUAUGACAAGGAAAAUGUUUUUGGUGGUAAUGAUAUUCAUGCAUGCCUCUCUUUCAUUAUACUUUGUGAUUUACAACAAUAUUAAAUGCUCUAGUGUGGUUAAAUGGAUAGGCAACGAUGAUCAAAGUUGUUUCAGGUUCCAUGGUUUGUUGUGGUGCAUGGUUUGGGUGUUUGAUCAAUUAUUCCUUUUGAUUUGUUGUAUGAUUCUUAACUUGUGUGAUCAUAAAAGUUGAAAUUUGAGCAGUAAUAUUGUAAUAUGAUUAGUACUUUGAAUUCGAUUUAUAUUUUGUUAUUAUGUUCUUUUAUAAUGAAUAAGUUAAAUGAUUUGUAUAGUAUUUUUUUGGGAUUACUGAA
Molecule: long non-coding RNA, 3374 nt
Filed under: Medicago truncatula (barrel medic)
Lineage: Eukaryota; Viridiplantae; Streptophyta; Magnoliopsida; Fabales; Fabaceae
Description: long non-coding RNA (MTRU_LNC001943)
Source: RNAcentral